GACGUGAACAUUAUUACUUUAUUACCAUUCAAAACGCCAAAACCAACCGACCAUAAACCCCACAGUUAAACCUCACUUUGUUCCUGUACCGGAAUAUCUCGUCACACUGCACGGUGGGUUUGAGGAUAUCAUCCGGCUCCGAGCUCUCCAGGCGCUUGGGAUCAAACUUGCCAAAGUUCACGAGCAAGUCGCGAACCUGGUGAUGCUUGUGGCGGAUCUGCGCGGCGUACGCGAGAGACUGGGUCUUGCAGCCGCCGCAGUCAGCGGCGAGGGGGCAGGGCGCCUCGAUGGCGUCGUGGUGUGGCUCGAGGGUCCUGAGCUUGGCGGCCUCGGCAAAGGCGCCACGGCGGAGGCGGCGGACGCGGGCGAUGAGGCGCUCGCCAGGGAGCGCACCAUCGCAGAGCAGGACGAACGUGGAGCCCGCGACCUUGCAGACGCCCUUGCCCUUAAAGGCGAGCGCCUCGCAGGUGAGCUCGACUGUCUCGCCACGCUUCGGGAAGUAGCCCUUGCGAGGAGGAACCGGGGGAAGCGGCAACUGGGAUGGCGCGGGGGUAGGCGCGGGCGAUUCUGGCGCUGCGGCGGCUACGGCGAGGAGGCGGCGGCUGUGGUUGAGGGGAACGCCGCGGCGGAGGCAGCAGAUGGUGAGCGGGGUGACGGCGUGGGCAGCCAUGAGGGGGCUGCCUCUGUCUGCCUGGCUG
This 698-nucleotide unclassified non-coding RNA is filed under the name Zea mays. Its description in RNAcentral is "misc RNA Zm00001eb121130". The record is from RNAcentral. Lineage: Eukaryota; Viridiplantae; Streptophyta; Magnoliopsida; Poales; Poaceae.